UCAGGACGAACGCUGGCGGCACGCUUAACACAUGCAAGUCGAACGAGCGAAAGAGUGCUUGCACUCUCUAGCUAGUGGCGGACGGGUGAGUAACACGUGGGCAAUCUGCCUUUCGGUGGGGGAUACCAAUUGGAAACGAUUGUUAAUACCCCAUAACAUAGAUAAGCCGCAUGACCUAUCUAUCAAAGAUUUAUUGCCGGAAGAUGAGCUCGCGUCUGAUUAGGUAGUUGGUGAGGUAACGGCCCACCAAGCCGACGAUCAGUAGCCGGACUGAGAGGUUGAACGGCCACAUUGGGACUGAGACACGGCUCAGACUCCUACGGGAGGCAGCAGUGGGGAAUAUUGCACAAUGGGCGAAAGCCUGAUGCAGCGAUGCCGCGUGAGGGAAGAAGGUUUUAGGAUUGUAAACCUCUGUCUUUGGGGACGAUAAUGACGGUACCCAAGGAGGAAGCUCCGGCUAACUACGUGCCAGCCGCAGC
Molecule: ribosomal RNA, 479 nt
Filed under: uncultured bacterium
Lineage: Bacteria
Description: bacterial SSU rRNA
Rfam family: Bacterial small subunit ribosomal RNA
Source: RNAcentral